This 460-nucleotide ribosomal RNA is filed under the name uncultured bacterium. RNAcentral's name for it is "partial 16S ribosomal RNA". It matches the Rfam family "Bacterial small subunit ribosomal RNA", at positions 338 to 795 of the family's 1533-position model. The record is from RNAcentral.
CCUACGGGAGGCAGCAGUGAGGAAUAUUGGUCAAUGGGCGCGAGUCUGAACCAGCCAAGUAGCGUGAAGGAUGACUGCCCUACGGGUUGUAACCUUCUUUUAUAAAGGAAUAAAACGAGGCACGUGUGCCUUUUUGCAUGUACUUUAUGAAUAAGGAUCGGCUAAAUCCGUGCCAGCAGCCGCGGUAAUACGGAGGAUCCGAGCGUUAUCCGGAUUUAUUGGGUUUAAAGGGAGCGUAGAUGGGUUGUUAAGUCAGUUGUGAAAGUUUGCGGCUCAACCGUAAAAUUGCAAUUGAUACUGGCAGUCUUGAGUACAGUAGAGGUAGGCGGAAUUCGUGGUGUAGCGGUGAAAUGCUUAGAUAUCACGAAGAACCCCGAUUGCGAAGGCAGCUCACUAAACUGUGACUGACAUUGAUGCUCGAAAGUGUGGGUAUCAAACAGGAUUAGAUACCCGGGUAGUC